GUACACAGCCAUAUCACCCUGCAGCUCACUGUUACUCACUGAAGCUAAGCAGGGCUGAGCCUGAUCAGUAUCUGGAUGGGAGACCACAUGGGAAAACUUGGUUGCUGUUGGAA
This 113-nucleotide ribosomal RNA is filed under the name Danio rerio (zebrafish). Lineage: Eukaryota; Metazoa; Chordata; Actinopteri; Cypriniformes; Danionidae. The record is from RNAcentral.